GAUGAAGAACGUAGCGAAAUGCGAUAAGUAGUGUGAAUUGCAGAAUUCAGUGAAUCAUCGAAUCUUUGAACGCACAUUGCGCCCGCCAGUAUUCUGGCGGGCAUGCCUGUUCGAGCGUCAUUUCAACCCUCAAGCUCAGCUUGGUGUUGGGACUCGCGGUAACCCGCGUUCCCCAAAUCGAUUGGCGGUCAGGUCGAGCUUCCAUAGCGUAGUAAUCAUACACCUCGUUACUGGUAAUCGUCGCGGCCACGCCGUAAAACCCCAACUUCUGAAUGUUGACCUCGGAUCAGGUAGGAAUACCCGCUGAACUUAAGCAUAUCAAUAAGCGGAGGA
RNAcentral lists this unclassified non-coding RNA (333 nucleotides) under soil metagenome. Its description in RNAcentral is "partial contains 5.8S ribosomal RNA, internal transcribed spacer 2, and large subunit ribosomal RNA". The stretch from base 1 to 120 matches the Rfam family "5.8S ribosomal RNA", at positions 35 to 154 of the family's 154-position model. The record is from RNAcentral.